This 464-nucleotide ribosomal RNA is filed under the name uncultured bacterium. RNAcentral's name for it is "partial 16S ribosomal RNA". It matches the Rfam family "Bacterial small subunit ribosomal RNA", at positions 28 to 506 of the family's 1533-position model. The record is from RNAcentral.
GAUGAACGCUGGCGGCGUGCUUAACACAUGCAAGUCGAACGGCAAGGCUCCUGCUUGCAGGGGUACUCGAGUGGCGAACGGGUGCGUAACCCGUGGGUGAUCUGCCCUGCACUUCGGGCUAACCCUGGGAAACUGGGUCUAAUACCGGCUCGGCCGAUGGUUUGCAUUCCAUUGUGGACAGUUUUUCGGUGUGGGAUGAGCUCGCGGCCUAUCAGCUUGUUGGUGGGGUAAUGGCCUACCAAGGCGUCGACGGGUAGCCGGCCUGAGAGGGUGUACGGCCACAUGGGGACUGAGAUACGGCCGAGACUCCUACGGGAGGCAGCAGUGGGGAAUAUUGCACAAUGGGCGCAAGCCUGAUGCAGCGACGCCGCGUGGGGGAUGACGGCCUUCGGGUUGUAAACUCCUUUCGCUAGGGACGAAGCGCAAGUGACGGUACCUGGAGAAGAAGCACCGGCUAACUACGU